RNAcentral lists this transfer RNA (73 nucleotides) under Ailuropoda melanoleuca (giant panda). It matches the Rfam family "tRNA". From Rfam's summary of the family: Transfer RNA (tRNA) molecules are approximately 80 nucleotides in length. Lineage: Eukaryota; Metazoa; Chordata; Mammalia; Carnivora; Ursidae. The record is from Rfam by way of RNAcentral.
ACCUGGCUGGCUCAUUCGGUAGAGUAUGCGACUCUUGAUCUCAGGGUUGUGAGUUCAAGCCCCACGUCGGGUG